CCUACGAGCGGCAGCAGUGAGGAAUAUUGGUCAAUGGCCGGAAGGCUGAACCAGCCAAGCCGCGUGAAGGACGAAGGUGCCAAGCAUUGUAAACUUCUUUUGUCAAGGGACAAAAUCAGGCUCGAGAGCCUGACCGAGGGUACUUGAAGAACAAGCAUCGGCUAACUCCGUGCCAGCCGCCGCGGUCAUACGGGGGAUGCGAGCGUUAUCCGGAUUUCGUGGGUUUAAAGGGUGCGUAGGCGGGCUGUUAAGUCAGCGGUAAAAGCCCGGGGCGCAACCCCGGCGAGCCGGUGAAACUGGGUGUGGUGAGAGGUCGGGAGGUAUGCGGAAUGCGCGGGGUAGCGGUGAAAGGCUGAGAUAGGGCGCAGAAGUGCGAUGGCGAAGGCAGCAUACCGGCGGCGAUCUGACGCUGAGGCACGAAAGCGGGGGUAGCGAACAGGAGUAGAGACCCGUGUAGUC
This 459-nucleotide ribosomal RNA is filed under the name uncultured bacterium. RNAcentral describes it as "partial 16S ribosomal RNA". It matches the Rfam family "Bacterial small subunit ribosomal RNA", at positions 338 to 795 of the family's 1533-position model. The record is from RNAcentral.